UGGGAAAUAUUGCACAAUGGGCGCAAGCCUGAUGCAGCCAUGCCGCGUGUAUGAAGAAGGCCUUCGGGUUGUAAAGUACUUUCAGUCGGGAGGAAGGUGGUAAGGUUAAUAACCUUAUCAAUUGACGUUACCGACAGAAGAAGCACCGGCUAACUCCGUGCCAGCAGCCGCGGUAAUACGGAGGGUGCAAGCGUUAAUCGGAAUUACUGGGCGUAAAGCGCACGCAGGCGGUUUGUUAAGUCAGAUGUGAAAUCCCCGGGCUCAACCUGGGAACUGCAUCUGAUACUGGCAAGCUUGAGUCUCGUAGAGGGGGGUAGAAUUCCAGGUGUAGCGGUGAAAUGCGUAGAGAUCUGGAGGAAUACCGGUGGCGAAGGCGGCCCCCUGGACGAAGACUGACGCUCAGGUGCGAAAGCGUGGGGAGCAAACAGG
Molecule: ribosomal RNA, 429 nt
Filed under: Chloroflexota bacterium
Lineage: Bacteria; Bacillati; Chloroflexota
Description: Chloroflexi bacterium partial 16S ribosomal RNA
Rfam family: Bacterial small subunit ribosomal RNA
Source: RNAcentral